RNAcentral lists this ribosomal RNA (205 nucleotides) under uncultured Lactobacillus sp. Its description in RNAcentral is "partial 16S ribosomal RNA". It matches the Rfam family "Bacterial small subunit ribosomal RNA", at positions 158 to 355 of the family's 1533-position model. Lineage: Bacteria; Bacillati; Bacillota; Bacilli; Lactobacillales; Lactobacillaceae. The record is from RNAcentral.
AGAUGCUAAUACCGGAUAACAACAGAUGAUGCCUAUCAACUGUUUAAAAGAUGGUUCUGCUAUCACUCUUGGAUGGACCUGCGGUGCAUUAGCUAGUUGGUAGGGUAACGGCCUACCAAGGCGAUGAUGCAUAGCCGAGUUGAGAGACUGAUCGGCCACAGUUGGGACUGAGACACGGCCCAAACUCCUACGGGAGGCAGCAGCU